AUGGACGAGCUGCUUCCAGACCAUACGCCCGAUCACAGUCAGGAUACCAAGACGACGGAGAGACUCCCAGCUUCUUUCGAAUUGAAAGAUUCGGAAGAAAAACCACCAUCAGUGGCACCUAAAGAUUACGUACCAUCAGCUGGCACACCAAACCGGAGACCGAGUUUUGGUAGACGCCGGGAAUCGGAAACAACGCCUAAAAUGGUGACAUCUUUCAAAUCUCAGUUCGGUUUGGACGAUUUGGACGACCCUAUGGCUGGGUUGAAACCCAGAGAGCUGUCGGAGAAACGCUUCAAUGUGAAAUCACCCAACGAAGUCGUAUCGAACGAUCCUAUGAGCAUUUUAGGUAAGGAGAUGACAGAAUUCAAAGAUUCUGCCGGGAUUGCUCGGAGGGACCAAAGCCAGCUCCCUUCGUGGCUUACGGAUCAAACAUCUCAAAGAGCUUCAGUUGCGUCUUCGGAAGCUUUAACCACCUCAACAUGUCUGUUUCUACACCUGUCAAGGCCCCAGUUCUUUCUGACACCAAAGAAUCAGUGCAAGGCGACGGCAUUUCACAAGGUAACGCUUUUUCAGGUCGUUCAUUAAUUUUAAUUCAUGCUUUCGACGAUCAGAUGAGAUUGGUAACAUUUUUGGAAACGAGAGAUAUAUACGUUAUUUUUUAAACAUUUUUCUCAAAUAAAAAAUGUCCUUAAAAAAGUUGAAUUCAAAGACUCCGUAUUAACAUCAAUGGACCACCAGACAAGGCAUGAACGACAAAUCAAAGUAAAGUGAUUUAUUUUCAAUAUCUCCCGCAGAAAACGAUUCUACAUAAUUGGGAAGUGCAAAUAUCAACUCCUAAACGAGAUAUUAACAAGCGAUUUUGAUGUGGAUCAAAUGGAAGUUAGAUUACCCAAAUGAGGUCAUUUGUAUUUUUAGGUACCAUCUAUCCGAUGUAAAUUGUAAAUGAAAAAUUGCACGUUGAAAUCAGUAGCUUUCACGCUUUAGCGGAUACAUUUUUUUCAUAUUCUUUCUUCGGUUACUUAUUCCUUCUUACGCAUAUUUGUUGAUUUGAAUAUGUCAGCACCAACAGAGUCUCACAUAAAAUCGGCGAUAUCUCUGGGAGAAAAAGCCUUCGUAUCGGAAAAAACGAUCCAGUCAUUGCAACAAACUCAUUCUCAGUUAUUGUCCGUCCUGAAAAUGCAGCAACAAAAGGAGAUGAUGGACAGCAUAACGGCAAGGCAGUUGGCAGUGUUGCACAAACAGGAGGAGCAAAUAGAGCAGCUCAUUCAAAAACAUUUGCAGAAGCAGAUGGAAGCAGAGGCCAUUGUUGAGAAACAGAUGCAACAGAUAAACGAUAUCAUCCUGGUAAAAUUAUAUUUUUAUAUACCUACGGAAAGUUUAGGCCUCUUAGAAUUCCACCCCGUUUAGGACUCUCGUAGGGGUUAGUAUCAGAUAAUUUCGACGAGACCGUUUCUUCUGACACAAAAUUUACACAAGUGUCGGCGCAAAAUUUUCUCUAUGUCAGAAUUAAUGAACUCAAUGGGACAUCGAUUUGAUCUUACGACAAAUUCGCCCUACAGUUGAUUUACCCGGGAAAAAUCACGACGGUACAACUGAUUCAAAAGCGAAGUCACCUCGUCCCCUCCUUUAUUGCAAUAUACCUAUUGUGGGAUUUCAGGAAAUGUUUCCUAUCAUUUGGAGAACAUUACUGCCAAAAUUUUGCCCAUGACUUGGGAAAAUAUGAUAAGUUUCCAUUUUAGGCACAUAGUGCUAUACAAUCCCUACCCGGUUACAUAAUUUUUUGGUAAACUCUUCGAUACUGAAAAAUUUGAUGACAAAUUGCUGUAAAUGACUUGCGACUAUGAUGAAAAUGGAAUAAUCGUGCAUAUAGGCGUAGCUGGAGAAAUUUUCUGAAAGUGGUCUGGCCUCUACUUUUCCAGGAAUAUGUGUGAAAACUGACCUCUCUUGGGUGCCUUUUGAGGAUAUUCUCUCGCAAAAUUUGACAAUAUGCAAAAUAAAGUGAGGUUCAGCUCUAACGGUAUCUCAAAAAACAACUUGAAAUUUUUCCGAUUGCAGCAUUCAAUGAAAAGAUGAGAUGUGCCAUUUUUAGGACUUGUUUUCUAUUGUGCGGAUAUUCUACGGAGGCCAUGAUGAUUUGAUACUUGUAUGUAUUCUAAUACACCCGUUGUGCUUAAUCUGAUUUUGAGACUUAUUUUUUCUUUGCUAUUUCAUUCAAAGGUGUUAAUGUCUCAACCAGACACAGGGAAACCCAUUAUUAUGGACGAAACUAUUAGCAAAGGGAAAAGCGCAGAGAGAGCGGACGAAGGAAUUUUUCCAACAGAGGUUAUAAACUUAAAUAGACAAAUUUUAAAUUUGGAGGAUAGUAUGCAGCAUUUAGAGUUCGAAAACAAAAAAUUACAACUACAGUUGGAGUUUGCAGAGAAUCGAUACAAACUUGAAUUGGAAUCCGUCGAGAAAAAUCUCAAUUACGAGCUACAAAUGAGCACGAAAAGAGAGGAAAAAUUGAAUAAGUCUCUGGAACAGAUGGAAAAAGAAUACGAGGAAAAACUGGGCAAAUUGAAACAGAAUGAGAUGGAGCAACGAAACUCGUACGAGGAGAAAAUAAGCGUACUGCAAAAUGAGAGACUGAAGGAUUAUCAAAAGCUGAACGAAAUUCAAAAAUCCGUUCUGGAGCAGACGUUUUCAUUCGAGGCACAGUCGCACUUUAAAGAUUUCGGGUGAGUUCCCACGUAAGCAUUUUGUUACUAAAAUGUUGCAAAAAUAUGGCAAUAAGUUGCAAAAUUAUUACAAAUGUUUGCAAAAUUCUUGUAAUUUUUUUCAACAUUUGACACAAUCUUUUUUUGUUCAUCGAGGAAAAAAUUAAUUAAUUUCAUGGGAAAGAAA
Molecule: long non-coding RNA, 2883 nt
Filed under: Bemisia tabaci
Lineage: Eukaryota; Metazoa; Arthropoda; Insecta; Hemiptera; Aleyrodidae
Description: lncRNA ENSSSA3NGG006300
Source: RNAcentral